AGAAAACACAGGGAUGGAAAGAUGAGGCCAAGAGGAGAUAAAGAAAGAAGAGAGCCCGUUUCCUGUGGCGGUGCUGUGUCAAACAACGAUGACCCUCUGCUUCCUGCAAGUCGCAUGUAGACAGGCCUGCCACGAGCCCUGGGGCCUCACCGUCAGCCGCCGAACAACCUCCAAGCCCCUGCUCUGUCUGUCUGUUUUCAAGUCGUUUGCCACCUUGCCCUUUCUGGAUCUCACUUUUUUUUCUCCCACUUCAUGUUUCCCUUAAUUUCUUGCCUCCCUUUAACUGUUUUUUUAUUUCUUUUUCUUCUCUCAUCUCUCUUGCACCUAUCUCUUCCCCUCCAUGCCUAAUUUAUCACUUGCGACCUCCUGUUUCUCCUUCGUGUUUCCCUGUAUCUACACCUCCUUUCCUUUUUGUAUCCCUUCUUCCCUCCUCCCUUUGUCCCGCCGUCCAGGUCAGAAGAUGGUCUGUCAGACGUUUCCUGUGCAAGCCGCAGUGCCAGACCACACCUCGUGAAGGGGAUUUCUGCAGCUAAAAUACGCUUGGAUCCUGGACACCAUCCCAGUCAUACGUGAGCACGUGUGUGUACAUUGGCACAGUCUUCCAUGUUCCACAGACCAGCGGGCCACUUUCAAUAGGCUUCUCACCUCCUUCCACUCAAGGUCAUGAACACGUGCGCCGGCAGCAAUAAACACACUUCACCGUGCAUCUCUGAAAAUUACCCUUCUGGUCUUCUUCCAGUCCAGGUCAGAGGCAGGAAGUGAGCCGAGAGAAAAUGAGGAAGCAGCAGCAGCGCUCUCUUG
Pundamilia nyererei is the source of this 801-nucleotide long non-coding RNA. RefSeq lists it as uncharacterized. The record is from RefSeq and is a predicted model, not a curated record. The transcript is spliced from 3 exons. Lineage: Eukaryota; Metazoa; Chordata; Actinopteri; Cichliformes; Cichlidae.